Molecule: ribosomal RNA, 467 nt
Filed under: uncultured bacterium
Lineage: Bacteria
Description: partial 16S ribosomal RNA
Rfam family: Bacterial small subunit ribosomal RNA
Source: RNAcentral
GACGAACGCUGGCGGCGUGCUUAACACAUGCAAGUCGAACGGAAAGGCUCCUGCUUGCAGGGGUACUCGAGUGGCGAACGGGUGAGUAACACGUGGGUGAUCUGCCUUGUACUCUGGGAUAAGCUUGGGAAACUGGGUCUAAUACCGGAUAAUAACUGCCUUUAGUGUGGUGGUUGGAAAGUUUUUUCGGUGCAAGAUGAGCUCGCGGCCUAUCAGCUUGUUGGUGGGGUAAUGGCCUACCAAGGCGUCGACGGGUAGCCGGUCUGAGAGGGUGUACGGCCACAUUGGGACUGAGAUACGGCCCAGACUCCUACGGGAGGCAGCAGUGGGGAAUAUUGCACAAUGGGUGGAAGCCUGAUGCAGCGACGCCGCGUGGGGGAUGACGGCCUUCGGGUUGUAAACUCCUUUCGACAGGGACGAAGCUUUUUGUGACGGUACCUGUAUAAGAAGCACCGGCUAACUACGUG